GGCUGGUCCGAAGGUAGUGGCUAUCGCAAUCGAUUGUUCACAGUCAGUUACAGAUUGAUCUCCUUCUGCUCUCCUUCCCCCCUUACCACUACCAACCUUGACUGGUCUUUU
RNAcentral lists this Y RNA (111 nucleotides) under Calypte anna (Anna's hummingbird). It matches the Rfam family "Y RNA". Rfam says of the family: Y RNAs are components of the Ro ribonucleoprotein particle (Ro RNP), in association with Ro60 and La proteins. The Y RNAs and Ro60 and La proteins are well conserved, but the function of the Ro RNP is not known. In humans the RNA component can be one of four small RNAs -- hY1, hY3, hY4 and hY5. The record is from Rfam by way of RNAcentral. Lineage: Eukaryota; Metazoa; Chordata; Aves; Apodiformes; Trochilidae.